AAUAAAAAAAAAAGUUGUUAGAAUUUUUUAAAGUUCUGUGAUGUACAUAAAUUGUUUUAUUACUUAAUAUUUUUUUUAUUGUGUAUGCAUAAGCUAACUAUUUCUAUUGUCGUUUCAUAUUCCUGAGUAUCCUGCAUGGUGACUGGUCCGGGACUACAGCAAAAAAAAAAAAAAAAUAAUCAGCUUAGAGAAAACUACAAGCAUUUAAAGAGAAAUAUAGAUACAUAGUGACAGUAAUAUAACCUCAAAUUUUACAUGACUCUAUGAAAAUUGACAGAAAAAGAAAAACUGUGUAAAAUAGUGUAUAUAGAACGAUUAGUUUCAAAUCAGAGGAUUUAUUCAUAACGGAGCAGACAGCCAGCACAUCAAGAUGACAAAAUAACCCAUAAACUUUGAAUUAUUAUUGAUAUUAUGUGUUAUCUCAUAUCAAACCAC
This 435-nucleotide long non-coding RNA is filed under the name Mytilus galloprovincialis (Mediterranean mussel). The record is from RNAcentral. Lineage: Eukaryota; Metazoa; Mollusca; Bivalvia; Mytilida; Mytilidae.